Small nuclear RNA from Suricata suricatta (meerkat), 108 nucleotides. The record is from Ensembl. Lineage: Eukaryota; Metazoa; Chordata; Mammalia; Carnivora; Herpestidae.
CUUAAAAUAAUAAUACUAAAAUAAAAUAAAAUAGGAAUGAUACAGAGGAGCUUAGCAUGGUCCUUGAGUAAGAAUGGCAUCCAAAUCCAUGAAGUCUUCCAAAUUAUU